GACAAAACGCUGGCGGCGUGUAUUAGGCAUGCAAGUCGCACGGACACUUCGGUGUCAGUGGCGGACGGGUGAGUAACACGUGGGUAACCUGCCCCGGAGUGGGGAAUAACUCGCCGAAAGGCGAGCUAAUACCGCAUACCACUCCCGGUGAGAAACCGGGUAGUAAAAGUAGUGAUGCGCUCUGGGAGGGGCCCGCGGCCGAUUAGCUUGUUGGUGGGGUAACGGCCUACCAAGGCGACGAUCGGUAGCNGGUCUGAGAGGAUGGUCAGCCACACGGGGACUGAGAUACGGCCCCGACUCCUACGGGAGGCAGCAGCUAAGAAUCUUGCGCAAUGGGCGAAAGCCUGACGCAGCAACGCCGCGUGGGGACGAAGGCCCUCGGGUCGUAAACCCCUUUGCGAGGGAAGAAGUUCUGACGGUACCUCGCGAAUAAGCCACGGCUAACUACGU
RNAcentral lists this ribosomal RNA (450 nucleotides) under uncultured bacterium. Its description in RNAcentral is "bacterial SSU rRNA". It matches the Rfam family "Bacterial small subunit ribosomal RNA", at positions 32 to 506 of the family's 1533-position model. The record is from RNAcentral.